CAGCCGCCACGGUAAUACGAAGGGUGCAAGCGUUAAUCGGAAUUACUGGGCGUAAAGCGUGCGUAGGCGGUUUGUUAAGUCUGUUGUGAAAUCCCCGGGCUCAACCUGGGAAUGGCAAUGGAUACUGGCAAGCUAGAGUGUGUCAGAGGAUGGUGGAAUUCCCGGUGUAGCGGUGAAAUGCGUAGAGAUCGGGAGGAACAUCAGUGGCGAAGGCGGCCAUCUGGGACAACACUGACGCUGAGGCACGAAAGCGUGGGGAGCAAACAGGAUUAGAUACCCCAGUAGUCCCUGUCUCUUAUAC
Molecule: ribosomal RNA, 301 nt
Filed under: uncultured bacterium
Lineage: Bacteria
Description: partial 16S ribosomal RNA
Rfam family: Bacterial small subunit ribosomal RNA
Source: RNAcentral